CCUACGUGAGGCAGCAGUGGGGAAUAUUGGACAAUGGGGGGAACCCUGAUCCAGCGACGCCGCGUGAGUGAAGAAGUAUUUCGGUAUGUAAAGCUCUAUCAGCAGGGAAGAAAGAAAUGACGGUACCUGACUAAGAAGCCCCGGCUAACUACGUGCCAGCAGCCGCGGUAAUACGUAGGGGGCAAGCGUUAUCCGGAUUUACUGGGGGUAAAGGGAGCGUAGACGGCGAUGCAAGUCUGAAGUGAAAGGCGGGGGCCCAACCCCCGGACUGCUUUGGAAACUGUAUGGCUGGAGUGCAGGAGAGGUAAGUGGAAUUCCUAGUGUAGCGGUGAAAUGCGUAGAUAUUAGGAGGAACACCAGUGGCGAAGGCGGCUUACUGGACUGUAACUGACGUUGAGGCUCGAAAGCGUGGGGAGCAAACAGGAUUAGAUACCCCAGUAGUC
This 443-nucleotide ribosomal RNA is filed under the name uncultured bacterium. Its description in RNAcentral is "partial 16S ribosomal RNA". It matches the Rfam family "Bacterial small subunit ribosomal RNA", at positions 338 to 795 of the family's 1533-position model. The record is from RNAcentral.